UUUCCGUAGGUGAACCUGCGGACGGAUCAUUAAUGAAAUGAAUGUCGAAAAGGGUUGUAGCUGGCCUCUUGAGGCAUGUGCACACCUUGGUCGCACAUCCACAUCUCACACCUGUGCACAACCUGUAGCUUGGGAUGAUUACAAUGCUGGGAACAGAGUCGAAAGCCCUUGCUAUGAAAUUUUACACACACAUAUUAAAAGUUAUAGAAUGUUAUAUAGCGUGUAACAGCGCAAAUAAAUAUACAACUUUCAGCAACGGAUCUCUUGGCUCUC
Molecule: unclassified non-coding RNA, 273 nt
Filed under: plant metagenome
Description: partial contains small subunit ribosomal RNA, internal transcribed spacer 1, and 5.8S ribosomal RNA
Source: RNAcentral